CUUGGUACCAAACAACAAACUCUUCUUCAGUGAGUUUAAAAAGUGACAGAUCCAAGGAUGAACCUGUAAGCUUUGACACUGAAGAUAAACGUGUUUCGAAUGACAACCAAUCUGAAACAUCUGGACCAGCUGACACAGUUACAGGAGAUAAUCCCAAAGGAUCAUUUUCAAUAAUAGAAGAUGCCAAGGAAGACAAAGAAAUUCCAAAGAAGAUGGGUCGACAUAAAAAAGACAUAAAACUUUCUGAGACAGUGAUGUUUGAAAUUGGGAAAAAGAACCUAAUCACACCUAAAAAUUUAUUUACCAACAAUAAAACUCAGACUUCUAAUAUGCCCAAUCAUGUGCGAACUGUUCUGAUGGAAGGAGUCCCUGGUGUUGGUAAAACUUUCCAAAAAAAAAUGUUCAUGAAGGACUGGGAAGAAGGAAACUCCAACAAACACAUAAAGGCUUUAGUGACCUUUGAUUUCACUGAGUUGAAUACAAAGAUAGAUGAAGAAAAAAACAUGGAAUCUCUGCUGAAUGAUUUCUUCAAGACAAAAAAAGUUAAUGUUUUCAAAGACGACAAGAAAAAGAUAUGUUUCAUUCUUGAUGGUCUGGAAAAAUGCAAACUUCCUCUUGACUUUGUAAACAACAAAGAAGUAAAAAACUUGAAGGAAGAAACAUCAAUGGAUGAGCUGCUAACGAAUCUGAUCAAAGGAAAUCUGCUUCCUGAAGCUCAUAUUUGGAUAAUUUCUCAACCAAAAGGAGUUGAUAAGAUUCCUCCUGAAUAUAUCAACAAAACUGUUUU
Long non-coding RNA from Poeciliopsis prolifica (blackstripe livebearer), 787 nucleotides. RefSeq lists it as uncharacterized. The transcript has 3 exons. NCBI's taxonomy places the organism in Eukaryota, Metazoa, Chordata, Actinopteri, Cyprinodontiformes, Poeciliidae. The record is from RefSeq and is a predicted model, not a curated record.